RNAcentral lists this long non-coding RNA (623 nucleotides) under Danio rerio (zebrafish). Its description in RNAcentral is "lncRNA si:dkey-4j21.1 (ENSDARG00000092775.3)". The record is from RNAcentral. Lineage: Eukaryota; Metazoa; Chordata; Actinopteri; Cypriniformes; Danionidae.
AUUGGAUUAUGGAUGCGCUAAUGGACGACACUGAUGACAAGGAAAGUGUAUGUUUUACCUGGCGAAUAAGAAGUUAUGGCCAAUAUGAUUGGAUUGCUUAGGCUCAUUGUAGGAGGAAAAGAAAACAAACUACAGGAUGAUUUUCAUUGAGGUUAUCUCAAACUGCCAUCGUACAUCCUCUGGGUGUCUUGAGGAGCUGGUCUUUGGAUAAUGCUGAGCAGGUCUUUCUUUCUGGUAAAGAUUAUCAUUACAGUGAAGUAAAAUAAUUUAACAGACAGAUUUACAAACAACUGACGAAAGAAGGGAGACCAUUCAAUAGUCCCUUUAUUUAUCAGGGGUUGCCACAGCAGAAGGAACUGCCAACUUAUCCAGCAUAUGUUUUACACAGCGGAUGCCCUUCCAGCUGCAACCCAGUACUGGGAAACACCCAUUUACACUCAUACACUUGAACAUGGGGAGAACAUGCAAACUCCACACAGAAAUGACCACUGGCCCAGGCGGGGCUUGAACCAGCAACCUUCUUGCUGUGAAGCGACGGUGCUAACCACUGUGCUGCCCUAUGUGCUCUAUGCGGGUGAGUGGGAUUGACAAACCACUUGGAGGGAACACUCUUGCUGUCUUAA